This 492-nucleotide ribosomal RNA is filed under the name uncultured bacterium. RNAcentral describes it as "partial 16S ribosomal RNA". It matches the Rfam family "Bacterial small subunit ribosomal RNA", at positions 29 to 507 of the family's 1533-position model. The record is from RNAcentral.
AGUGAACGCUGGCGGUAGGCCUAACACAUGCAAGUCGAACGGCAGCACAGUAAGAUCUUGCUCUUACGGGUGGCGAGUGGCGGACGGGUGAGGAAUACAUCGGAAUCUACUUUUUCGUGGGGGAUAACGUAGGGAAACUUACGCUAAUACCUCAUACGACCUACGGGUGAAAGCAGUGGAUCUUCGGACCUUUCGCGAUUGAAUGAGCCGAUGUCGGAUUAGCUAGUUGGCGGGGUAAAGGCCCACCAAGGCGACGAUCCGUAGCUGGUCUGAGAGGAUGAUCAGCCACACUGGAACUGAGACACGGUCCAGACUCCUACGGGAGGCAGCAGUGGGGAAUAUUGGACAAUGGGCGCAAGCCUGAUCCAGCCAUACCGCGUGGGUGAAGAAGGCCUUCGGGUUGUAAAGCCCUUUUGUUGGGAAAGAAAAGCAGCAGGUUAAUACCCCGCUGUUCUGACGGUACCCAAAGAAUAAGCACCGGCUAACUUCGUG